UACGGAGGGUGCAAGCGUUAAUCGGAAUUACUGGGCGUAAAGCGCACGCAGGCGGCUGAGUCAGUCGAUUGUGAAAGCCCUGGGCUUAACCUGGGAAUUGCAGUCGAUACUACUCAGCUAGAGUAUGGGAGAGGGUAGUGGAAUUCCAGGUGUAGCGGUGAAAUGCGUAGAUAUCUGGAGGAAUACCGGUGGCGAAGGCGGCAUCCUGGACCGGCAUUGACGCUGAGGAGCGAAAGCCAGGGGAGCAAACGGG
This 253-nucleotide ribosomal RNA is filed under the name uncultured bacterium. Its description in RNAcentral is "partial 16S ribosomal RNA". It matches the Rfam family "Bacterial small subunit ribosomal RNA", at positions 524 to 776 of the family's 1533-position model. The record is from RNAcentral.